Long non-coding RNA from Pan troglodytes (chimpanzee), 1135 nucleotides. RefSeq lists it as uncharacterized. The record is from RefSeq and is a predicted model, not a curated record. The transcript is spliced from 3 exons. Lineage: Eukaryota; Metazoa; Chordata; Mammalia; Primates; Hominidae.
AUCCUCCUGACAGCUCCCUGUGGUGUGAAAAGGAGCUAUCAUCUACACUUGCUGCAGGUGAGAUGACUGUCCCGGCAAUGGCCCAAGGCCCAUCCUCUCUCAAUGUGACUGUUUAUCCAUGUUACUCCAAGAGAAUCUAACAGUUAAGGGGAGAAAAAGCUGCACUGCUUGCUUCCAGAGCUAACUGUGUCCUCCCUGCUGUCCUCCCUGCUCUGGGCCACAGCGAACACUGGACAGUGAUAUUAAAACCUAGAGCAUGAAGAAGCCAGUGAGGAGAAGCUGGUGAGAGGCUCUGCCCUCAGAUGAGAGGAACUGGAAUUCACACAUGCUCCGUCUGCCUCUGCAAACUUCGGAUGACUCAGUGUCUACCCAGCGCCUGGUCAUCGGCAUUCCUGCCAAGUGGGUCUCAGGACAAAGAAAGGACAUGACUGCCUGAAGAGGGCCCAGACAUGCAGUGGGGCAGGUGCUGGCAUCUGAGAAAGUCCUAGGAGAGAACCUCCUCCAGUGUGUGAAGAGCUUCCCAAGCACCAGGUCCACUGACUGUGGCGUCAAAGACAGUGAAAAGCUGGCCUUGGGGUAAUGCCAUCCAGGAAGGCAUGCCAGAUCAGAUGCCCAGGUUGCAGGAGCAGAUGAAAUAAUGAGUACAGAAAGCAGAAGAUGCAGAGCACCACGCAUAGCAGGAAGAUGCUUAUUCUUUUUAUUAGAUACAAACUUCUCCAAAAUCUUUUAUGGCUCCCCAUUUUCUCCUUAGGCCUGCACUGAAAGCCUUCCACAGUGUGACCCCAAGUUCCCUGUCCAGCCUCAUUACUCGCCUCUCCAACAUAGCUUGAUUCCACCUACCAGAUACCAUUACCUAGCCAUGGAUGGGCUUCCUGCCUCAGAGCCUUUGCUCAGGUUGUCCCUUCCACCUACUAUGUAUUUCUUUCCAGCAACUACCAUCUUCUCUGCUUGGGCCCUACUGCUGUGGUUCAAGAAGGAACUACCUGAGCAAGUAAGUGUCUUAGAAAGAUAACUAGGGGCCAGGCACAGUGGCUCACACCUGUAAUCCCAGCACUUUAGGAGGCUGAGGCUGGCACAUCGCUUGAGGCCAGGAGUUUGAGACUAGCCUGGGUAAUAUGGCAAAAUCCCAUCUCUU